UAUCAAACAUUUGACUUUUUGCUUCAUGUGUUAGGAGAGCCCCUGGCAAGUUCACAUUUAAUUACAGGCUGUUCUCUGGCCACAGUCCUGUGAGCUAGGAUUUCAUCCUCCCAAGCAAUCCUUCCUUCUUCCCCCGAGGGCAGAACUGCUCACCUGUCCUGGAGAUCGCUCUCCUACCAGGUGCGACACUGCUCCUCUCUGAGGUAGCACCAAGGGGUGGGGUGGUGCGGCAUACAGAGAAAGACAGGAAGAUAACAUUUUUAUUUUCUUCUUUGUCCAGAUUUUCCCUCACUUAGCUCUGGAAAGCAGCACCAAGAGCUCUGAUUAUUACUGGAAAGGUCAUGAGAUGGGCUUCCAUCUGUCCAUCCUGUCCCUGACCUGGUCCCUGAUCAUGCCCAUCUGAGGGAGUCCAGAGGCACCUAACAUUUAUGGUCACUUCAUACUCAGAGUCUGCACAUUCUUUUCCUACUGAUGAUGUGGAAGAGACUUGGAAAUGUUCCUUUCCAGGAGAUGACUGAUACACAGAAAGAUGGGGUCAGAUGAGGCCACAAGACCAGAGCCAAAAUCUUACCCAACUCCUUCAGGCAACAUUGUGACUGUAGGACAUGCUGCACUGAUACAGGAGUGGUCUUGGAACUACCCAGGUUCUACCAUUGAUAGGCAGUGUCAAGGUCCAGCCUUUCUGGGUCCCUCAGGCAGGUGAGGCGAGCCUGCAGGCAUGCUGUGGACCGCUGCAACUUGCUAGUCCCAGGGUCACAGCAAGUGGAAGUGCCGGGCACCACACAUGGCUUUGAGCAAAACCCACUUCCUCCAUCCCGGAGAGCAUGAAGCCGUUACACCACCAUCAAUCAAGGGGAACCCACGGGCUGCGCUCACACCGUUGAAGCAGGCGCCGGGCUGCGCUAUUUUGUGUUUCUUUCUUUUUUUUUUCUUUUCUUUCUUUUUUUUAAAUUCUGAAGCCAGACUGUCUUGCCUCCCAGCACCGGGGCUGCUUCGCCGUGGGCACGCCGAGCCUCCCGGUUACCUGCGUGGCUCCUGCGGCAUCUCCUGCCUGGGCUUCGCCAUAGUGCACUGGACCCGGACUCGCGAGUCUGCACCCAGCACAAGGAGGACCUGCUGGUGGAGCUCUGGCCAGGGUCUCCUCUCACCUGCUUGAGGGGACUUGGGAGCCAGGGCAAAGCUGCGGACAUCUCAGGGAGGGAUGGUAGAGGACGCAGAGGACCAGGAUGGGGAUGUUAGGAAUCCUAUGUUACCAAUGCCACCGGUGCUCUGCAGGGAGAGGACAGCUGCCUGCACCCAGCUCCGGCUGCUCUUAGGGAGUAAUCUGGAAAGACAAGCCAGGCUGAGGUGUGGUGGCCUUUCACCUGAGAGUGGAGCUGAAGAUGGAUAAACAAGGUAUCUGAUGUAUCUGCCUGGCAAGGCGGAGUUGGAGAAAAGCAGAGAGGAAUGCGUGAAGAGAAAGGAGAUGCUGACUGCUGUGUGAUUGCUGCUCACUCUGCGUUCUUAUUCUAGGGAAAAUGGCAUAAUUUAUAAGCCAGUACAUGGAUGGAGGAACUGUAAAUUGUAGUCUGGAUGUCCCCGGUGCUGUCAGAGAAGAAACUGAUGGGCUGGGUGGCUGUACUGUGUCCCCAGAGAAAACAGCUUUGCAGCAUGGAUUUAAAUGCAUGUGCGUGCAUGUAGAGACAUGGGGUGGGGAAGCGAUUUCUGACCAUUUUACACAGGAAGUCUGUCACUCUGCUGGAUCGGGUGUGAUUGCAGCUUGUGUUUUCAGUGCCAGCUUGACACCCAUCUCCUGACCAGCCAGAAAGCUCGGCCAAAGCAGCUGCAACCCGCCUCACUUUUAACUCCUUGAAGCUCUGUGCUCUGUGUGGUGCUAGGACUGAUGGAGUGGUUUUUGUUUUCUUCUUCCUCUUCUUCUACAAAUCCCUGUAAACACAGCUGUAUUCAGUAUGGAAAAAAAAUUUCUAGCCUGUAAAUAGAAAUGUGAUCAAUUUAAUCAAAAUAAAUAUAUACCAGAUGACUUCGACACCAGCUGGCUACCACAGGCUUCAGAUGCAGACUGCUCGGUAGAGAUGAACACAGCGUUAUAUUUACAUGUUUUAGAAUGCCAGGAUUAGCCUAUAAUUAAAGAAAGCAAGCCUCUUAUGAGGAAGAGAGGUGGUCCUUCCAGCUCACAGCUAGAUGGUUAGGCACAGGUGCGGAUGGCUGCCCUUCAUGUGACUGGGACGCAUGUGGUGUGGCGUUUCAGAGGGCUUGUGCCACAAGGCAGAGCAUGGCUGCCGUCAGCGUGGAGAAAGCUUGGCUCUGAGUUGCUGCUGUAGAAAGCUGAGCCUCUGCACAGUCUCUAGCGAGGCGGGGGAAAGUCACUCAGGCUUGUAGAUUCCAAACAGGGAGCUGCAGUGCCCUGUCCCAGCCUGGUGGAGUGUCACCACCCACCUGAGACAGAAAAGCUUUCGCAGUUGUCAUGGGGAGCUCAUUGGGGAUGCCUGUCUGGCCUCUCCACUGUUUGUUACCAAUUCUACAAAGGCAGUUCUGUGCUUUGGAUUUUGUUUGGCCAGCUGUUGGUGCAUUCCUGCGGGCGGGGUGGACGAGGAUCUUGUUACUGUACUUCCAAACUGUAGAUCUGUGUGCAGGCAGAGGAGGGAGGGAAGGAAAGAAGCCAGAGAGAGAGAGAAUCUGAUCGUUCAGAUGCCUUUCUCCAGAUAGUCCUAGAGUGAAUCGAGAAAGGCUUUAAAGUGAAAAGAAAGACAGAGCAAGAAGGGGACGAGAAAGGGACAAGGGAGAGAAGGAAACCGAGCAAGCCCAAAAGAGAAAAACAGAACUUCAAAGCUGCAUAGACAAGCACAAUGUCAGCAGCUUGUAAUUAGUGGUUCCUGGUUGCGUCAGUGACUACAUCUCUCCAAGAAUAACUCUGUGAUGUGUGCCACAAAGUGAAGAAGAUAGUCAUAACUAAAUUAUCAAACAGUUCAAACCAGGGCACAUGGAUUAAGGAGUUUUCUGUGUUUGUAAAUCAAAUAUGGAUGGAUUACAUGUACAGGAUUUGCUGAAUUCUGCACAACUGAAAGCUGAAUUAGCAAUGUGUGUGUGGAUAUGAGGGGUUUGUUUACUAGAUGAAAUGGGGAACUCUAAAGAUUUUUUUGUGCAAGCUCUAUCAGUGUACGAUAUUUCUCCAACUGGCCCCCCAACUGCACUGUCUGUCUCCUAUCUCUGCAUCCACAGAUUGCUUUUGUUUAUUCUUGUGCAUUUCAAUGGAGAUAAGUCAAAAGCUACAUUUGAGUAAAUAUGGACAAUGAGGUCUAAAACUCCCAUUUCAGAUUGCAAAAAUGACUACAGGGUUCUGAGUUUCAUUGGUAGCUCCAGCUUAAACCUUGAAAGAACUUUCGUUGUCCAGAAGCCAAACAGCAGUCUGUUAGUAAUUCUGGGGCAAGGCAGGGUAUUGUGGUUGUUGAGAUUUGAAGGCCACGUUCACAACCGUCCCUUGUCUCUUGUGCUUAGAGGUGUGGUGCUCUGAUAGCCUCUGCAGGAAUACAAUGGGAGGAGCUGAUUGGCUGGAAGGUUUAGGAUGUUUACUUGUAUUUGUUUUCACUGCCCCUCCAUGGCAUUCAUUGUGUAUUUGUAUUUGUGUUCAUGCUGCACAAUUACUCCUGACUGCUCUGUUUCUCUGCCCAAAGAGAAGUCAAUUUUAGUUCAGCU
RNAcentral lists this long non-coding RNA (3693 nucleotides) under Cavia porcellus (domestic guinea pig). Its description in RNAcentral is "lncRNA (ENSCPOG00000031385.1)". The record is from RNAcentral. Lineage: Eukaryota; Metazoa; Chordata; Mammalia; Rodentia; Caviidae.